AAAGGCUGUGACUUCCCUCCCCUAAGCCCUUUCAUGUGUAUCUCUAGGCAGUUUGGACCUAUUCAGCUGAUACAUUUGGCUGCAGAUUUCACGAUCCUAAAAGGAUAUAAAAGUUGUAUUUCACUGAGUACAUUAAGGGCAGCUCAAUUCCUCGGUCUAACUUCCAGCAAAAUGUAAAUCUGAAAGACAGGAGUUCCUAGGAUCUAAGACUUCAGUAGAGAAGGUAAGGGAGCAAUUCUCUGUGCUGCCUGGGAAACCCCCAAUCUAGCUUUGACAGGAACCAAUAACUGGAAGACUCCCCAAAGUCGCAUUCUCUUUAUGGCAGAGGCUCCCAACAGAAUCCAAGUACAAUAGUCAUUUGAUGAGUAAUCUCUGGCCAAGUGAGAAGAUGGCUACCAGAUGCACAGCAACUCAAGCUAAUUUUCAUCCUCACUCCACGACUAUCACACGAAUGGAAAAAACCUGAGAUGCGCAGAUCCAUUCUGGUCAAGUUAGAGGAAAGGAGGGAAUCCAGGACAUGAAUGUUUAGGCUAAAGCUUAAAAGUGUGAAAUGGACUUAAAUCCUGUAGAGAAUUGUCUUCUUUGAGUAAAGCACUCUUUUCUGACAAGAAAUGUAAGAAAGCCAAUGGUCUAGAUUUUAUAACUUUUUAAAAGUAAGCUGUCUUUAAUUUCAGAAAAUCUGCUAUUAUACAACAAAUUAUUUUUUCAUUCAUAAAAAACAGUCCACAGCAUUCAUAAAACAGGGUACUUUAAUCGGUGUUCACAAAGAAGACCACAAAAGUACUGAAAAAAUGCUAGCCUUACAUAUACCACCAAAAAAAAAAAAAGAGAGAGAAAGAAAUUAACAAUCCCCAUCUACAACUAGGCUAAUCAUAGGUUUUCCCUUAUAGAGACAGACACAGAAAAGUAACUUUUUACAAGCUUAGUUUUGAGGUACAAUGCCUUAGAGCUCUCAACUGGGGUGUUUCCUGCUCAUGCUCUUUUCACUAUAAACAAAUGUGGUUUAUGAAGUGGAAUACAUACUUGAAAAAUUCCUUAAAAAAGAAUCACAAGUUUCAUUUUAUAUAUACAACAAAUUUUUAAUUAUGUACUGAAAAUAAAUUACAGGAAAUAACUUUAAAAUGC
RNAcentral lists this long non-coding RNA (1125 nucleotides) under Homo sapiens (human). RNAcentral's name for it is "HSALNT0030287". The record is from RNAcentral. Lineage: Eukaryota; Metazoa; Chordata; Mammalia; Primates; Hominidae.